RNAcentral lists this ribosomal RNA (356 nucleotides) under uncultured archaeon. Its description in RNAcentral is "bacterial SSU rRNA". It matches the Rfam family "Archaeal small subunit ribosomal RNA", at positions 59 to 418 of the family's 1478-position model. The record is from RNAcentral.
CGAUCGACACAGCAAUGUGUGGCAUACGGCUCAGUAACACGUAGUCAACAUGCCCAGGGGACGUGGAUAACCUCGGGAAACUGAGGAUAAACCGCGAUAGGUCACUACUUCUGGAAUGGGUAAUGACCCAAACCUAUAUGGCCCCUGGAUUGGACUGCGGCCGAUCAGGCUGUUGGUGAGGUAAUGGCCCACCAAACCUGUAACCGGUACGGGCUCUGAGAGGAGGAGCCCGGAGAUGGGCACUGAGACAAGGGCCCAGGCCCUAUGGGGCGCAGCAGGCGCGAAACCUCUGCAAUAGGCGAAAGCUUGACAGGGUUACUCUGAGUGAUUUCCGUUAAGGAGAUCUUUUGGCACCU